GGUCAUGAGUGUCAGCGACAAGCCCUGGCUCGCUGACCGGCAACCCUCGCGCCGCGGUGGGGUGCCCCAGGUGACGACCGGACCGGAGAACUUCGGUAAACGCGAGGC
This 108-nucleotide non-coding RNA is filed under the name Actinobacteria bacterium OK074. Its description in RNAcentral is "SAM (S-adenosyl methionine) riboswitch aptamer". It matches the Rfam family "SAM (S-adenosyl methionine) riboswitch aptamer". From Rfam's summary of the family: SAM-IV is a mRNA element that regulates gene expression via direct sensing of S-adenosylmethionine (SAM or AdoMet). SAM-IV riboswitches share conserved nucleotide positions with the previously described SAM-I riboswitches sequence analysis and molecular recognition experiments suggest that SAM-I and SAM-IV riboswitches share similar ligand binding sites, but have different scaffolds. RNAcentral also lists the same sequence under 1 other name. Lineage: Bacteria; Bacillati; Actinomycetota; Actinomycetes. The record is from Rfam by way of RNAcentral.